AACGAACGCUGGCGGCAGGCUUAACACAUGCAAGUCGAACGCCCCGCAAGGGGAGUGGCAGACGGGUGAGUAACGCGUGGGAAUCUACCCAAUUCUUCGGAACAACACAUGGAAACGUGUGCUAAUACCGGAUGAGCCCUUCGGGGGAAAGAUUUAUCGGAAUUGGAUGAGCCCGCGUUGGAUUAGCUAGUUGGUGGGGUAAAGGCCUACCAAGGCGACGAUCCAUAGCUGGUCUGAGAGGAUGAUCAGCCACACUGGGACUGAGACACGGCCCAGACUCCUACGGGAGGCAGCAGUGGGGAAUAUUGGACAAUGGGCGCAAGCCUGAUCCAGCCAUGCCGCGUGAGUGAUGAAGGUCUUAGGAUUGUAAAGCUCUUUCACCGGUGAAGAUAAUGACGGUAACCGGAGAAGAAGCCCCGGCUAACUUCGUGCCAGCAGCCGCGGUAAUACGAAGGGGGCUAGCGUUGUUCGGAUUUACUGGGCGUAAAGCGCACGUAGGCGGACUAUUAAGUCAGAGGUGAAAUCCCGGGGCUCAACCCCGGAACUGCCUUUGAUACUGGUAGUCUUGAGUUCGAGAGAGGUGAGUGGAAUUCCGAGU
Molecule: ribosomal RNA, 598 nt
Filed under: uncultured Phyllobacterium sp.
Lineage: Bacteria; Pseudomonadati; Pseudomonadota; Alphaproteobacteria; Hyphomicrobiales; Phyllobacteriaceae
Description: bacterial SSU rRNA
Rfam family: Bacterial small subunit ribosomal RNA
Source: RNAcentral